UCCGUAGGCGGGCGUCUAAGUCAGUGGUGAAAUCUUACAGCUCAACUGUAAAAUUGCCAUUGAUACUGGAUGUCUUGAAUUAGUGUGAAGUGGUUAGAAUGUGUAGUGUAGCGGUGAAAUGCAUAGAUAUUACACGGAAUACCAAUUGCGAAGGCAGAUCACUAACACUAUAUUGACGCUGAGGGACGAAAGCGUGGGGAGCGAACAGGAUUAGAUACCCUGGUAGUCC
Molecule: ribosomal RNA, 229 nt
Filed under: uncultured bacterium
Lineage: Bacteria
Description: partial 16S ribosomal RNA
Rfam family: Bacterial small subunit ribosomal RNA
Source: RNAcentral